RNAcentral lists this ribosomal RNA (460 nucleotides) under uncultured bacterium. RNAcentral describes it as "partial 16S ribosomal RNA". It matches the Rfam family "Bacterial small subunit ribosomal RNA", at positions 338 to 795 of the family's 1533-position model. The record is from RNAcentral.
CCUACGGGGGGCAGCAGUGAGGAAUAUUGGUCAAUGGACGAGAGUCUGAACCAGCCAAGUAGCGUGAAGGAUGACUGCCCUAUGGGUUGUAAACUUCUUUUAUAUGGGAAUAAAAUGUUCCACGUGUGGGAUUUUGUAUGUACCAUAUGAAUAAGGAUCGGCUAACUCCGUGCCAGCAGCCGCGGUAAUACGGAGGAUCCUAGCGUUAUCCGGAUUUAUUGGGUUUAAAGGGAGCGUAGGUGGAUUGUUAAGUCAGUUGUGAAAGUUUGCGGCUCAACCGUAAAAUUGCAGUUGAAACUGGCAGUCGUGAGUACAGUAGAGGUGGGCGGAAUUCGUGGUGUAGCGGUGAAAUGCUGAGAUAUCACGAAGAACUCCGAUUGCGAAGGCAGCUCACUGGACUGCAACUGACACUGAGGCUCGAAAGUGUGGGUAUCAAACAGGAUUAGAUACCCGUGUAGUC